Non-coding RNA from Helianthus annuus (common sunflower), 105 nucleotides. NCBI's taxonomy places the organism in Eukaryota, Viridiplantae, Streptophyta, Magnoliopsida, Asterales, Asteraceae. The record is from Rfam.
GGUUGCGAUCAUACCAACACUAUUGCACUGGAUCCCAUCAAAAUUACAUAGUUAAGCGUGUCUGGGCGAGAGUUUGGUUUUCAAAAGCGUGUGGUGAUGCAAUGC